AUCCUACGGGAGGCAGCAGCCGCGGUAAUACGUAGGGGGCAAGCGUUAUCCGGAUUUACUGGGUGUAAAGGGAGCGUAGACGGUUGUGCAAGUCUGAAGUGAAAGCCCGCGGCUCAACUGCGGAACGGCUUUGGAAACUGUGUAACUGGAGUGCUGGAGAGGUAAGCGGAAUUCCUGGUGUAGCGGUGAAAUGCGUAGAGAUCAGGAGGAACACCGGCGGCGAAGGCGGCUUACUGGACAGUAACUGACGUUGAGGCUCGAAAGCGUGGGGAGCAAAAAGGAUUAGAAACCCAUGUAGUCCCCGG
Molecule: ribosomal RNA, 305 nt
Filed under: uncultured bacterium
Lineage: Bacteria
Description: bacterial SSU rRNA
Rfam family: Bacterial small subunit ribosomal RNA
Source: RNAcentral